Molecule: ribosomal RNA, 457 nt
Filed under: uncultured bacterium
Lineage: Bacteria
Description: partial 16S ribosomal RNA
Rfam family: Bacterial small subunit ribosomal RNA
Source: RNAcentral
CCUACGGGUGGCAGCAGUGGGGAAUAUUGCACAAUGGGGGAAACCCUGAUGCAGCGACGCCGCGUGAGUGAAGAAGUAUUUCGGUACGUAAAGCUCCAUCAGCAGGGAAGAAAAAAAGUCCUUUGGACUUUGGACGGUACUUGACCAAGAAGCCCCGGCUAACUACGUGCUAGCAGCCGCGGUAAUACGUAGGGGGAAAGCGUUAUCCGGAUUUAUUGGGUGUAAAGGGAGCGUAGACGGCAGCGCAAGUCUGGGGUGAAAUGCCGGGGCCCAACCCCGGAACUGCUUUGGCAACUGGGCAGCUGGAGUGCAGGGAAGGUAAGCGGAAUUCCUGGUGUAGCGGUGAAAUGCGUAGAUAUUAGGAAGAACACCGGUGGCGAAGGCAGCUUACUGGACUGUAACUGACGUUGAGGCUCGAAAGCGUGGGGAGCAAACAGGAUUAGAUACCCCAGUAGUC